This 60-nucleotide unclassified non-coding RNA is filed under the name synthetic construct. The record is from RNAcentral.
UAAAUAGGUGUAUUUAUCAAAGGGAGGGCAGAUGCAUAGUGUCUGUAAAUUUGGUACGUA